GACGAACGCUGGCGGCGUGCCUAAUACAUGCAAGUAGAACGCUGAAGAGAGGAGCUUGCUCUUCUUGGAUGAGUUGCGAACGGGUGAGUAACGCGUAGGUAACCUGCCUUGUAGCGGGGGAUAACUAUUGGAAACGAUAGCUAAUACCGCAUAACAAUGGAUGACACAUGUCAUUUAUUUGAAAGGGGCAAUUGCUCCACUACAAGAUGGACCUGCGUUGUAUUAGCUAGUAGGUGAGGUAAUGGCUCACCUAGGCGACGAUACAUAGCCGACCUGAGAGGGUGAUCGGCCACACUGGGACUGGGACACGGCCCAGACUCCUACGGGAGGCAGCAGUAGGGAAGCUUCGGCAAUGGGGGCAACCCUGACCGAGCAACGCCGCGUGAGUGAAGAAGGUUGUCGGAUCGUAAAGCUCUGUUGUAAGUCAAGAACGGGUGUGAGAGUGGAAAGUUCACACUGUGACGGUAGCUUACCAGAAAGGGACGGCUAACUACGUG
Molecule: ribosomal RNA, 497 nt
Filed under: uncultured bacterium
Lineage: Bacteria
Description: partial 16S ribosomal RNA
Rfam family: Bacterial small subunit ribosomal RNA
Source: RNAcentral